This 70-nucleotide transfer RNA is filed under the name Ochthebius sculptoides. RNAcentral's name for it is "tRNA-Lys". Lineage: Eukaryota; Metazoa; Arthropoda; Insecta; Coleoptera; Hydraenidae. The record is from RNAcentral.
CAUUAGAUGACUGAAAGUAAGUAGUGGUCUCUUAAACCAUAUAAUAAUAGUUUAACGUCUAUUUCUAAUG